CAGAGUAUAGCUAAGAUAGAAGAGCAUCCCCCUUACACUGGGAAGGCACUCGUGCAAAUCGAGUUACACUGA
Molecule: transfer RNA, 72 nt
Filed under: Lophotus capellei (unicornfish)
Lineage: Eukaryota; Metazoa; Chordata; Actinopteri; Lampriformes; Lophotidae
Description: tRNA-Val
Rfam family: tRNA
About the family: Transfer RNA (tRNA) molecules are approximately 80 nucleotides in length.
Source: RNAcentral